UACAGAGGGGGCAAGCGUUGUUCGGAAUUACUGGGCGUAAAGGGCGCGUAGGCGCCUUCUAAGUCGAACGUGAAAUCCCCGGGCUCAACCCGGGAACUGCGUCCGAUACUGGAAGGCUUGAAUCCGGGAGAGGGAUGCGGAAUUCCAGGUGUAGCGGUGAAAUGCGUAGAUAUCUGGAGGAACACCAAUAGCGAAGGCAGCUCGCUGGGACGUACUGACACUGAGGCGCGAAAGCGUGGGGAGCGAACAGG
This 251-nucleotide ribosomal RNA is filed under the name uncultured bacterium. RNAcentral describes it as "partial 16S ribosomal RNA". It matches the Rfam family "Bacterial small subunit ribosomal RNA", at positions 524 to 776 of the family's 1533-position model. The record is from RNAcentral.